ACAAGGAUUCCCCUAGUAACUGCGAGUGAAGCGGGAAAAGCUCAAAUUUAAAAUCUGGCAGUGGUUCACUGCCCGAGUUGUAAUCUAGAGAAGUGUUGCUCACACUGGACCAUGUAUAAGUCUUCUGGAAUGAAGCGUCAUAGAGGGUGAGAAUCCCGUCUUUGACAUGGACUCCCAGUGUAUUUGUAGCAUGCUCUCAAAGAGUCGAGUUGUUUGGGAAUGCAGCUCUAAAUGGGUGGUAACCUCCAUCUAAAGCUAAAUAUUGGCGAGAGACCGAUAGUGAACAAGUACCGUGAGGGAAAGAUGAAAAGAACUUUGGAAAGAGAGUUAAAAAGUACGUGAAAUUGUUGAAAGGGAAACGCUUGAAGUCAGUCACAUUGGCCAGGGAUCAACUUGCUUAAGUGUACUUCCUGGCUGAUGGGCCAACAUCAGCUUUGACUGUCAGAGAAGGGUAGGGGGAAUGUGGCACCCUUCUUGGGUGUGUUAUAGCCCUCUGUCAUAUAUGGCCGUUGGGGCUGAGGAAUGCAGCGCGCCACAAGGCCGGGCUUCGACCACGUUCGCGCUUAGGAUGUUGGCAUAAUGGCUUUAAUCGACCCGUCUUGAAACACGGACCAAGGAGUCUAACAUGCCUGCGAGUGUUUGGGUGGAAAACCCGAGUGCAUAAUGAAAGUGAAAGUUGAGAUCCCUGUCAUGGGGUGCAUCGACGCCCGGACCUGAGCUUUCUAGCAAUGGCUCUGCGGUAUAGCAUGUAUGUUGGGACCCGAAAGAUGGUGAACUAUGCCUGAAUAGGGCGAAGCCAGAGGAAACUCUGGUGGAGGCUCGUAGCGAUUCUGACGUGCAAAUCGAUCGUCGAAUUUGGGUAUAGGGG
RNAcentral lists this ribosomal RNA (868 nucleotides) under Amanita ochracea. Its description in RNAcentral is "eukaryotic LSU rRNA". It matches the Rfam family "Eukaryotic large subunit ribosomal RNA", at positions 68 to 923 of the family's 3401-position model. Lineage: Eukaryota; Fungi; Basidiomycota; Agaricomycetes; Agaricales; Amanitaceae. The record is from RNAcentral.